This 253-nucleotide ribosomal RNA is filed under the name uncultured bacterium. Its description in RNAcentral is "partial 16S ribosomal RNA". It matches the Rfam family "Bacterial small subunit ribosomal RNA", at positions 524 to 776 of the family's 1533-position model. The record is from RNAcentral.
UACGGAGGAUGCAAGCGUUAUCCGGAAUGAUUGGGCGUAAAGCGUCCGCAGGUGGCAAUGUAAGUCUGCUGUUAAAGAGUCUAGCUCAACUAGAUAAAAGCAGUGGAAACUACAUAGCUAGAGUACGUUCGGGGCAGAGGGAAUCCCUGGUGUAGCGGUGAAAUGCGUAGAGAUCAGGAAGAACACCAGUGGCGAAGGCGCUCUGCUAGGCCGUAACUGACACUGAGGGACGAAAGCUAGGGGAGCGAAUGGG